This 1346-nucleotide ribosomal RNA is filed under the name uncultured bacterium. RNAcentral describes it as "bacterial SSU rRNA". It matches the Rfam family "Bacterial small subunit ribosomal RNA", at positions 28 to 1381 of the family's 1533-position model. The record is from RNAcentral.
GACGAACGCUGGCGGCGUGCUUAACACAUGCAAGUCGAACGGAAAGGCCCUGCUUUUGUGGGGUGCUCGAGUGGCGAACGGGUGAGUAACACGUGAGUAACCUGCCCUUGACUUUGGGAUAACUUCAGGAAACUGGGGCUAAUACCGGAUAGGAGCUCCUGCUGCAUGGUGGGGGUUGGAAAGUUUCGGCGGUUGGGGAUGGACUCGCGGCUUAUCAGCUUGUUGGUGGGGUAGUGGCUUACCAAGGCUUUGACGGGUAGCCGGCCUGAGAGGGUGACCGGCCACAUUGGGACUGAGGUACGGCCCAGACUCCUACGGGAGGCAGCAGUGGGGAAUAUUGCACAAUGGGCGGAAGCCUGAUGCAGCAACGCCGCGUGCGGGAUGACGGCCUUCGGGUUGUAAACCGCUUUCGCCUGUGACGAAGCGUGAGUGACGAUAAUGGGUAAAGAAGCACCGGCUAACUACGUGCCAGCAGCCGCGGUGAUACGUAGGGUGCGAGCGUUGUCCGGAUUUAUUGGGCGUAAAGGGCUCGUAGGUGGUUGAUCGCGUCGGAAGUGUAAUCUUGGGGCUUAACCCUGAGCGUGCUUUCGAUACGGGUUGACUUGAGGAAGGUAGGGGAGAAUGGAAUUCCUGGUGGAGCGGUGGAAUGCGCAGAUAUCAGGAGGAACACCAGUGGCGAAGGCGGUUCUCUGGGCCUUUCCUGACGCUGAGGAGCGAAAGCGUGGGGAGCGAACAGGCUUAGAUACCCUGGUAGUCCACGCUGUAAACGGUGGGUACUAGGUGUGGGGUCCAUUCCACGGGUUCCGUGCCGUAGCUAACGCUUUAAGUACCCCGCCUGGGGAGUACGGCCGCAAGGCUAAAACUCAAAGGAAUUGACGGGGCCCCGCACAAGCGGCGGAGCAUGCGGAUUAAUUCGAUGCAACGCGUAGAACCUUACCUGGGUUUGACAUGGAUCGGGAGCGCUCAGAGAUGGGUGUGCCUCUUUUGGGGUCGGUUCACAGGUGGUGCAUGGCUGUCGUCAGCUCGUGUCGUGAGAUGUUGGGUUAAGUCCCGCAACGAGCGCAACCCUUGUUCACUGUUGCCAGCACGUUAUGGUGGGGACUCAGUGGAGACCGCCGGGGUCAACUCGGAGGAAGGUGGGGAUGACGUCAAGUCAUCAUGCCCCUUAUGUCCAGGGCUUCACGCAUGCUACAAUGGCUGGUACAGAGAGUGGCGAGCCUGUGAGGGUGAGCGAAUCUCGGAAAGCCGGUCUCAGUUCGGAUUGGGGUCUGCAACUCGACCUCAUGAAGUCGGAGUCGCUAGUAAUCGCAGAUCAGCAACGCUGCGGUGAAUACGUUCCCGGGGCU